RNAcentral lists this ribosomal RNA (201 nucleotides) under uncultured bacterium. RNAcentral describes it as "partial 16S ribosomal RNA". It matches the Rfam family "Bacterial small subunit ribosomal RNA", at positions 328 to 540 of the family's 1533-position model. The record is from RNAcentral.
ACGCUCGACACCUACGGGAGCAGCAGUGGGGAAUAUUGGGCAAUGGGCGAAAGCCUGACCCAGCAACGCCGCGUGAGGGAAGAAGGUUUUCGGAUUGUAAACCUCUGUCCUCAGGGACGAAGGACGUGACGGUACCUGAGGAGGAAGCCCCGGCUAACUACGUGCCAGCAGCCGCGGUAAUCUGAGCGGGCUGGCGAAGGC